AGUGAACGCUGGCGGUAGGCCUAACACAUGCAAGUCGAACGGCAGCACAGAGGAGCUUGCUCCUUGGGUGGCGAGUGGCGGACGGGUGAGGAAUACAUCGGAAUCUACUCUGUCGUGGGGGAUAACGUAGGGAAACUUACGCUAAUACCGCAUACGACCUACGGGUGAAAGCAGGGGACCUUCGGGCCUUGCGCGAUUGAAUGAGCCGAUGUCGGAUUAGCUAGUUGGCGGGGUAAAGGCCCACCAAGGCGACGAUCCGUAGCUGGUCGGGGAGGAGGAUAGGCCACACUGGAACUGAGACACGGUCAAGACUCCUACGGGAGGCAGAAGUGGGGAAUAUUGGACAAGGGGCGCAAGCCUGAUCCAGCCAUACCGCGUGGGUGAAGAAGGCCUUCGGGUUGUAAAGCCCUUUUGUUGGGAAAGAAAUCCAGCUGGCUAAUACCCGGUUGGGAUGACGGUACCAAAAGAAUAAGCACCGGCUAACUUCGUGCCAGCAGCCGCUGUAA
Molecule: ribosomal RNA, 506 nt
Filed under: uncultured bacterium
Lineage: Bacteria
Description: partial 16S ribosomal RNA
Rfam family: Bacterial small subunit ribosomal RNA
Source: RNAcentral